RNAcentral lists this small nuclear RNA (154 nucleotides) under Anolis carolinensis (green anole). Its description in RNAcentral is "U1 spliceosomal RNA (ENSACAG00000021521.1)". It matches the Rfam family "U1 spliceosomal RNA". Rfam says of the family: U1 is a small nuclear RNA (snRNA) component of the spliceosome (involved in pre-mRNA splicing). Its 5' end forms complementary base pairs with the 5' splice junction, thus defining the 5' donor site of an intron. Lineage: Eukaryota; Metazoa; Chordata; Lepidosauria; Squamata; Anolidae. The record is from RNAcentral.
GACCUUGCCUGGCAGGGGAGAGACUACCUCUAUGGAGGUGAUUUUCCCAGGGUGAAACUCAUCCAUUUUAUUCAGACUCCUGCAAUUUCUCUGAACAUAGGAAGCUUGAGUGGAUAAUUUUUGGUUGAGGGAAGACUGUGUUGGCACUUUCCCU